Long non-coding RNA from Columba livia (rock pigeon), 1632 nucleotides. RefSeq lists it as uncharacterized. NCBI's taxonomy places the organism in Eukaryota, Metazoa, Chordata, Aves, Columbiformes, Columbidae. The record is from RefSeq and is a predicted model, not a curated record. The transcript is spliced from 2 exons.
GUUCCAAAUGAGUUGCAUAUUAUCUGUAGCAGCUGUUUGCUUUCCCAUUGUCUUGAAAUUCACCACAAAGGUGUUUUCAGAAGGAAAAUGUUAGGUGAAUUAUUCUAAUACUUGAUGGUCUGUCAGCAGUGACAGCAUCUGAUAUAUUCAGACAGUGACAGAUUCAGACGUGUCAGCGGGGCUGAGUUAGACAAUCUCUCGAGGCCCUCUUCCAACCUUAAUUAUUGUCUGAUUCUACGAUUGCUUGAAAUUCUAUCUCAUUCUGGUUGGUUUUGUGACUGAUGGCAGCUGCCACUUUGUACUGACUGAAAACCUGGAUCUUCUUUACUAGCUCAAGUUGCAUGUGUUUUAGUGAGCCAUACUUCUUCAAUAAACUGUAAUCACUUUGAAGUGGAAGAUGUUUCAAGCGAUACAGAGAACCAGCUGUCCACGACAAAAGAGAAACACUGUCUAAUCUAAACAGGCUGACGUAUCUUUCUGGAACUCGGUGGGCGUCACGCUGUUGGCAGUUCUGCAAGUGAACAUCAAAAGGCUCAGCCUCCAGCUGGUAUCACGGUGGCUUGGAAACAGCUCCCUAGAAGCUCUUACCAUCUUCAUGCCAGAUGUUUCACAGAACCUGAGCAGCUCAUGGAUCUUCAGUAAGAAAGAGCAGGAUCUUCUGGUAUGUUCUGUAAAAGUGCAAUAGCCAAUAUUUCUUUACACAAUGUAUGUAGUGUACAAUUUAUAAUGUACUCCAUUGCUUCACAGUCUUUAGCUUGUUGCCUUGUAGGAUAGUAACUAUGCUAGAUCAAUUAGUAAGCAGAAUGGUCUGCAGAUAAAUAACAGACACUGAAAUCUACUUUUCUGAGGGAUGUUUUUAAUCUGAAACUAGACAGUAACCUAUUUAAAAACUCAAAGUUAAAUCCUGCCCUGGCUUUUCACUGGGAGCAUCGAAUCUGCCAGAUUCAUUAUUUGCUGGCCAUUAAAUCUGCCACUUGAUUGUUCCUUGGGUUCAUUUCUGAGUUCCUAAAACUGAAGCUUGGCCCGCAUGACUCAAGAUACAACGAGGCUGCACAGAGCCAGGGAAAUUAGGGAGAUUAGCACCACCCUGUGUGUUUCAGUCUCUUACGGUGCCUUCCAAAUUGUCUGUUCCCAGUUUAGACCCAUUUAUGUAUUAUUUUCCACGCUGUAUUUCCUUUUAAUCCAAGCACUUUUGCAGUCACUACUCGCCACAGAUGUUUUUACUGGGCAGGGAGCAAGGUGAGGAGAGAACACAGACCAAAAAAAAACCAACCAUACUUUGGUGAUCAGAUUAGACUGAAAGAUAUUUAUUUAGAAACAACAGCUUUGGUAUUUUAAAACCAAACAAUCUUUAAAUCACUAGAAAGUGGGAUGUCUCCCCCCAUAGCCAAAACAAAUCAAUGCACAAAGUCUCAAUAUGCUCAGAAUAGGAAACCUGCAGAUCAGCAUUUCCAAGUGUAAAUCCAGAAAACAAUUUCCUUAAAUUGGUUUUGCACUCUGCAAUGAUAAAGGCUGAAAAACCUGCUACCAGCACGUAGAUAUCUACAGUUCAAUUGACUGACUUGUUACUGAAGUGGAAGCAAAAUUAACAUCCUCUCCCUCCCCCUGAGCAAUAAAUUAAAAAAAUGUAUA